ACAACGGAUCUCUUGGUUCUCGCAUCGAUGAAGAACGCUUCGAAAUGCGAUAAGUAAUAUGAAUUGCAGAUUUUCGUGAAUCAUCUAAUCUUUGAACGCACAUUGCGCCCUCUGGUAUUCCAAAGGGCAUGCCUGUUUGAGCGUCAUUUCUCUCUCAAACCCCCGGGUUUGGUAUUGAGUGAUACUCUUAUUCGGACUAGGCGUUUGCUUGAAAAGUAUUGGCAUGGGUAGUACUAGAUAGUGCUGUCGACCUCUCAAUGUAUUAGGUUUAUCCAACUCGUUGAAUGGUGUGGCGGGAUAUUUCUGGUAUUGUUGGCCCGGCCUUACAACAACCAAUCAAGUUUGACCUCAAAUCAUGUAGGAAUACCCGCUGAACUUAAU
This 381-nucleotide ribosomal RNA is filed under the name Meyerozyma guilliermondii. RNAcentral's name for it is "eukaryotic LSU rRNA". The stretch from base 1 to 146 matches the Rfam family "5.8S ribosomal RNA". The record is from RNAcentral. Lineage: Eukaryota; Fungi; Ascomycota; Pichiomycetes; Serinales; Debaryomycetaceae.